Molecule: transfer RNA, 70 nt
Filed under: Dipodomys ordii (Ord's kangaroo rat)
Lineage: Eukaryota; Metazoa; Chordata; Mammalia; Rodentia; Heteromyidae
Rfam family: tRNA
About the family: Transfer RNA (tRNA) molecules are approximately 80 nucleotides in length.
Source: Rfam by way of RNAcentral
GGGAAGGUGGCUCAGUGGUAGAGUGCUUGCCUUGCAAGCAUGAGGCCCUGCAUUCGAUUCCGCAGUACCA